Molecule: ribosomal RNA, 256 nt
Filed under: uncultured bacterium
Lineage: Bacteria
Description: partial 16S ribosomal RNA
Rfam family: Bacterial small subunit ribosomal RNA
Source: RNAcentral
UACGUAGGGUGCAAGCGUUUGUCCGGAAUUAUUGGGCGUAAAGAGCUCGUAGGCGGUCUGUCACGUCGGCUGUGAAAUCCCGAGGCUCAACCUCGGGUCUGCAGUCGAUACGGGCAAACUAGAGUAUUGCAGGGGAGACUGGAAUUCCUGGUGUAGCGGUGAAAUGCGCAGAUAUCAGGAGGAACACCGGUGGCGAAGGCGGGGUCUCUGGGCAAUAACUGACGCUGAGGAGCGAAAGCGUGGGGGAGCGAACAGG